RNAcentral lists this long non-coding RNA (926 nucleotides) under Junco hyemalis (dark-eyed junco). RNAcentral describes it as "lncRNA (ENSJHYG00000006281.1)". The record is from RNAcentral. Lineage: Eukaryota; Metazoa; Chordata; Aves; Passeriformes; Passerellidae.
GCCGGCCCUGGUUGCCGGGCGGGCCCGCACGCAGCGCCGGUCCCGGCCCGCGGCGGCGGACGCGGCCUCCCGGCCCUAUGGACGGGGACAAGAAAAGAACUAAAGAAGAUACUUGGAAAGCAGAAGAACUUAGGAAACAUCUAAAGGCAGCACUACUAGAGAGUCAAAAUGAAGACCAAAAACCCAGAGAGAAGAAAUUGCAAAGAGAGAGGAGUGUUCAUGACAUAAACCCUUACAGACAUGAAUACAGAGGCAGAGAGAAGAGCAAGGAGAGAACAAGAGAGAGAGAGAGGUUUAAAUCCAGUGAAAGGGACAGGGAUAAAAGGAGAGAAAGGGAGAAAGAACAGCAGAGAGAAGAGCGAGAGAGACACAAAGAUAAGGUCCCAGAGUCAUGGUUGGAGGAGAAACACAGUGUACUAAAAUAUAGAGACAGGGACACUGAGAGAGAACGAGACAAAAAGCACAAGGCAUAUGAGAUAAUAGAUCCCCGAAAUUAUCUGAAAUCAUUUGAAGGAAGAGACACAGAGCAUCACAGAAGAAGAGAAAUCAGGCAUCAUUUGGGGUGGUUGCUGAAAUCAGCAGCACGUGUCAUUACUCUUACCAUGACACAAGACUGGAGGGAUUCAUUAGGAGAGAAGAAGGAGUAACCAGUUUUGGAGAGAGAAUUUCAACAGAAUUCCUUUUUAGAAAGAGCUUAUGUAAGAGAAAACACAUUGCUAAAAUACAAUUUUCUACUUGCUAGAAUUAAUUACGUACGGAGUUGAAUAUUAUAAAAUCUGUUCUCUAAUUUAUACAUCUGUUUUCUAGAGGAGGAGAAAGCAAGAACUGAAGAGAGAGAAAGAAGACAUAAAGUACAGAAGGUAAAGGAAAUUAGUGAAGUGUUUCCAUAACAGAAUAAGAUAAAAUUGUAGAAUAAUGAAGAAACU